GGCGCCCCCACUAACCAGGCGCACAGCCCGCGCCACCUACACGUCGCCCCUCCCUCGGCCUCUCCCUCAGUCCUUCCAGACCCGGCCUCAUCCCCUCCCCACCCUCGUUGGGUCGGGCCCCCUGCCGCCUCCCCCGCAACCCCUCCUGUUUGGGUCAGUGCUAAUCACAAAUCCGCCCACGCCGCUGUGUACUCUUUGGGGCCCCCACCCCAUUAUGCUCCUCCGGGUCCUGUCCCCUCCGUCACUCUCUCCUAGCCUCCCCCAGGCCCUCCCCACCCCAGCUGGGGCACAGAUGAGAGCCACCCAGGACCACCCUGCCAGGCUUUGGGGAGGGGGUGGUCCUGACACCAUGCUGGUCUUGGACAUUAAGAGCGUAGGGUAGGAGGAAUGGCAGAGCCGGAAGGCCAGCUCUGUCUCAGGAGAGGAUGUCUGGUGGCUCAGGGUCGCCAGCUCCUCUCUCUGUUAUCUCCCACUCAACCCUGUCCUGCCCAAGCCAUUUGGAAGCAUCCUUUGAAAAAACAGAACCCUAAAAAGUGAUCCAACUGGCCUAUUUGAGAACCACGUGACUGGCUGCUUUAAAAUCCAGGGCCUCCAGAAACUCUGUAACUUGCAGUUGCCUUUCAGCUGCCUCCUCUCCGCGCCCCUUCUGUUCUAGAGAAAGGGCUCCCCUUUCAUUGCACACACUCUCUCUCUCUCCCCCCCACCCCCGCCCCCAGCAUACACACUGUGGAGAUGCACAAAACACAGGCCUACACAACCCAAAGUUCCAAGGACCAGUUGCUGGGUCAGAGAGAGCCCCCAAGUGCUUCCACAGCCCAAAAGUCUGACAAAACUGCUUACUGACCCAGAAAUGCCACUCACAUCCCACGGGGGUGGAGGUGGAGGUGUCUUAGCAGUUUUUUAUUAAAAACUCACUCUGGGAAAUACCACCUACCACCACCAUCUAGAGGUCACGUCUCCCUGAGCUUAUUUCAGGAAAUCUCUCCAAGGUGACAGGAGAGCCAGCUGUCGCUGGAAGGGAACCAAAGGGUGAAAAAGGCUUGCCUUAAAGAGGCUGGUCUUGGGGGACAGGCAAGAUCAAGGGAGCAGGGCUGGGGUAGGUGAGGCAAGCAAAGUGCCCACGGCCUAAAUUUAAGGGGGCACUCACCCUCGGAGUGGUGCAAGUGCAGGACUGGCACCUGAGAGCCAGGGCCUUCCUAAAUUGGGGCUCUAGAUGCCUCAUCCCAGUUGGCCCUGAUGUGGGAGCAGUGGGGUACAAAUAACCAAAGCUAGCUAAGCAGGCCUGUGGCCUAGGGCUUCCAGAUCCAGAGGGGAAACUCAAGGCCCCCACUCUCCAGCUCCAUAAUGUGACAGCCACCAUUACUGAGUGUUUCAUUGGUGGCAAACGCAUCACACUCAUUACCUCACUUCAGUGCAAACACUUUGUGAGGUCGGCGCUGUUACAAUCUCUGUUUCGCAGAGAGGGAAACUAGGGCUUGGGGAGGCCAAGGGACCUACCCGACUUUGCACAGCUAGUAGGUAGCAGGGCUAAAAUUAACCCGAGUCCGGAGCACUAGCACCAUGACGCUGAAGUCAUCCAGGUCUCAAUAACUUUGGCUGCAGAGCUGAUGCCGGACCGCUCCUGACCUCCAGGCCCUCUGCCAACGCUCAGGGAAGACGGAGAUGAAGAGACUCUUGAUCUGCUGGGGAGAUGGACACACAUUUACAACUAUGAGAGAGAGACACCGAAGGGGACCGGUGCUGUCGGCCAGGCUGGCUGAGCCAAAGGAGCCCAGACGGGAGAAGAGUGAGUCUGAAUUCACCAUAAUUGCCAUGUGACCCUGAGUGAGAGGUACAACUGUAUGGCCCAUGCCAGACACACAAGCCCCCAGUGCCCGAGGAGCUCUGUGAUGGUCCAGGCCAGUGUUCCCAGCCUGCAGGCCCCCUCGCUCAAGGAAGGCAUCUGGAAACCACGUGGCACACAGUGCUGUCUGUAAAGAGGACAGACAAUGUGUCACACACAGUAUGAAGGCUUUCCAAACGGACUUUGAUGCUGCCGUGACACCUGCAUUUUAAAGCUUUGCAUCAGUGGAUUCUGAAAGCAUAAUCGCUAUUAUAUAGAGGCACUGAGAGGUAUUUUGAAUCCCAAUUCUUAAACUAUUGCUUUAGUCCACAGUAUGCCUUCUCUACACUUUUGGAUAUUAAGGUCCAGAGGAGAGAUGCACCAAAAGUCCCAGAACAGGUCAGUGCAAAGCCAGAAAUGAAGCCUAGGACCCUGACUGGUCCCCCUGCCCCCACCCCCAGCUCCUCUGCACUUAUUCAAGUGUUUAUUAAGCACCUGCCUUGUGGUGGGCUCUAUGCCAGGCACCAGGAGACAAUGAUGACAACCCAGUGCUCUCCUCGCAGGGGCUGACGUCUGGGAGGUGAGUAGGCAUGAGGCAAGGAGAGGACACAGUGAACAGAGAUUUGGUCAGACUCCCUAAAGAAGCCAAUGAAGGACUGGAAUCAGGAAAUGAUGUGAUUGGGUGCCUGGGUUCAGUGGCUGCCUUUGGCUAAGGUCAUUAUCCUGGAGUCCCAGGAUUGAGCCCCACAUCAAGCCCCCCAUCUACCCCUGCAUUGGGCUCCCUGCUCAAUGGGGAGCCUGUUUCUCCCUCUGCCUCUUGUCCUGUUUAUGCCUCCUCUGUCUCUCUCUCUUCAAAUAAAUGAAUAAAAUAUUUUAAAAAAGAAAAAAGGAAGUGAUGUGAUACGAUCCCUGUUGUAUAACAACCACUGCAUUUGCAUGUAGAUGAUGGACUGGAAGUAUUUCAUCAUUUAGGAUGCUUUUGGCCUCAAGUAACAGAAAACAUCAACUCAAAGUGAUUUAAGCUGGAAGGAAAUAUAUUUUCUUCCUAACAAGAAGGUCAGAAGGAGGAUGCAGUUAGCACUCUGGCUCCCCUUUUCUGUGAUUCUCUGGGCUCUGCUGUCCCUCAUGGGUAGGCUUCAUCUUCAGGCUGGCGACAAAAUAAUCACAACACCCAGAACACUGAGUUGCAGGCAUCCAGAAGAAGAGAGGUUGUCUGUCUCUUUUUUUGCACAGCCCCUUGCUCCCACCCCGUGUCUCCUCAGCUCUCAUUGGCCAGAAGUGGAUCACUUCCCAUCCCUAAACAAUCUGUGGCAGGGAGGAAUAAAUUACAGGUUUGACCAAGACUGAUCAGAACUUACCUACUCCCAGAACUGGGGAUGGCUCACUUGCCCAUGAAACGAGUUGCUACAUGAAAGAGUAGAUACUGGGGGAAAAAAACGGGUUCCCCAGGGAAGGAGCAAGAGAAGUCCUCAACAAGUUCUGCUGCCGGGAGAGAAGAGAGAAGCGUGGAAGCCCAGACUGCAGAUGCUGAACAGAGGAGCUCCUACAGGGCACUCACCCCUCUGCCUGGUGUAAAACGCACACAUGUGUCUGCCUCCCCACUUGGCUCUCAGCUCCUGGAGGGCAAGGCCUGGGACCCGUGCUCUUGUGGAUCUGGGCACAGGAGUCCCCAAAGAGGAGGGGGAGGAGGAUGAGUGUAUUUCUACAGUAGGAAGCAUGGGCUCCCAUCUGAGAAGUGUCCCAAGCAGUGAGCAGGGAAUGACACCCAGUGGAAGGUCAUCUAGCUGGGUGACCUGGGGCAGUCAUCUGGACCCCCUUGAGCCUCAGUUUCUCCUUUAGAGAAUUCUCCCAGAGGAUGUUCUUAUUCUUCAGCAACAUCCACCUCCCCACAAAAUAUUCAGUUGGUUGAGCCUGGGGGACGGUGGUGAAUGGGGAGGAGGAAGAUGAGGGACCAGAGGGAGCCAUGGGCAGAUGGAAAGACAAGUGAGCUCCGAUCAGCCUGUGGCAUUGGGUGCAUCUCACCCCAGCUCUGCUUUCCAUGACGUGUUGGCAGUUUGAAAUUGGCCACAACAGAAGGUUUUACACCACAGAAAUGGGCAAAUGCCACAAAUCAGAACCUAACCAUCCCCCCACCCCAACCACCACCCAGAGUCAGCUGUUAAACAUUCACGAGCCCACCAUAUGGCAAGUCUCCAGUGAUUGAAAUAAUAAAGCUCAGACAAGACUGACAUGUUCUUUUGUGGCUGUUGGGAGACCUCAGGGAAGGAGGGCUUCUAGGGAAAGGAGGAGCAGGCAUUUACCUGUGCUUUCUCUGUAGCCACUUAGCUCCCACUCACAGAGCCCCGUGUGUGUGUGUGUGUGUGUGUGUGUGUGUGUGUGUGCCCGGCCUGAGGACAGAGCCUUACAUAACGUCUCUAACACAGCAGUUCCAUGCAUCACGCCUGACCUUCCAUGCUUUCUCCUGAGCUGUAAUACUAUAGUUCAUACUAUUCAGUUCAGUGAUUCCCCUGCCAGGAAUUCAUCCAGAGGGAUGUGCUCCAUGAUGCAUGUUCAAGGAUGGUCAUCACUGUGUUAUUUAUAAUAGGGGGAAAAUUGAACCUGAUACCCUACAGUAAGCUUGGGUCCUUGAAACAUUAGGCAGACACUGAAAGAAAAUU
This is a long non-coding RNA of Canis lupus familiaris (dog), 4479 nucleotides long. RefSeq lists it as uncharacterized. The transcript is spliced from 3 exons. The record is from RefSeq and is a predicted model, not a curated record. NCBI's taxonomy places the organism in Eukaryota, Metazoa, Chordata, Mammalia, Carnivora, Canidae.